Molecule: ribosomal RNA, 254 nt
Filed under: uncultured bacterium
Lineage: Bacteria
Also listed under: 1 other name
Description: partial 16S ribosomal RNA
Rfam family: Bacterial small subunit ribosomal RNA
Source: RNAcentral
UACGUAGGGUCCAAGCGUUGUCCGGAUUUAUUGGGCGUAAAGAGCUCGUAGGCGGUUCGGUAAGUCGGAUGUGAAAACUCAGGGCUCAACCCGGAGACGCCAUCCGAUACUGCUGUGACUUGAGUCUGGUAGGGGAUCACGGAAUACCUGGUGUAGCGGUGAAAUGCGCAGAUAUCAGGUGGAACACCGAUGGCGAAGGCAGUGAUCUGGGCCAGUACUGACGCUGAGGAGCGAAAGCGUGGGGAGCAAACAGG